CCAUAGAUCUGGGUCUUGUUACAAGUUGAAAACUCAGACCAGGUUCAUCAGAAGAUUUGGUUGGAGCUUCUGGUCAUCCAACCCCCCCAGCUGUGUGAAGCCUUUGGAUGCCCCCAGGACCUUCAGGGUUCACAGAUAAACAUAAGAAAAUACACUAGCAAUCCGAACAGAAAUGCAGUCUGCAUUCUACCACAUGAAACAGCAAAUGUCUGCGUAAGCCCUGAAAUAUCUUGGCUCUGCAGCAAAUAGGUCCAUCUGCGGAGGAAGCCUUUCCUCAAGAAAACAGAAAUCUGCUCUGCUCGGGAAAGCUGCUGAGGAGAUGAUGAGCUCAUGCAAAUAAGUUCUGCUGCCACCUUCUAUGGACACAUUGUAAGAUACAGUCACUGCCCCAAAGAGCUUAGAAUCUAAACACACGAGACAAAGGGUGUGAGGGGAAAAGAAGCUAAGUAAAGUGACUUGCCUAAGAUCAUGCAGCUGCUCAAUACUAGAGCCAGCAAUAGAGCCAAGGUCACCUGAGUUCUAGUCCAGUGCUGUACACGCUAGAUUGUACUGUCCUUAUAGCUUGCAACUGUGAUACUGCAAUGUGUUGGGUCAUUGCUGCAAAAUGUUUAUAAGAGCUGGGAGAAGGGAGAGGGCCGAGGAGAGGUGCUGUUGCACCUUAAAAGCAAGCACAUGUGUGUAUAGAUUAUUCAGCUGAAAGCUAGUGUGUUAGUUAAAUAGGGAAUAUUGUAUCUUCCUGAAAAAACUACUUAGUAGGUCAGGCCUCACUUCAGUACAGAGACUCGCUCCAGGGAAUGCUGUGAGAAGGCUGCAUCCAGAAACAGCU
This is a long non-coding RNA of Mauremys reevesii (Reeves's turtle), 826 nucleotides long. RefSeq lists it as uncharacterized. The record is from RefSeq and is a predicted model, not a curated record. The transcript has 3 exons. Lineage: Eukaryota; Metazoa; Chordata; Testudines; Geoemydidae.